GAUGAACGCUGGCGGCGUGCUUAACACAUGCAAGUCGAGCGAAGCACUUAAGUUUGAUUCUUCGGAUGAAGACUUUUGUGACUGAGCGGCGGACGGGUGAGUAACGCGUGGGUAACCUGCCUCAUACAGGGGGAUAACGGUUAGAAAUGACUGCUAAUACCGCAUAAGACCACGGUACCGACUGGUACAGUGGUAAAAACUCCGGUGGUAUGAGAUGGACCCGCGUCUGAUUAGGUAGUUGGUGGGGUAACGGCCUACCAAGCCGACGAUCGGUAGCCGACCUGAGAGGGUGACCGGCCACAUUGGGACUGAGACACGGCCCAGACUCCUACGGGAGGCAGCAGUGGGGAAUAUUGCACAAUGGAGGAAACUCUGAUGCAGCGACGCCGCGUGAAGGAUGAAGUAUUUCGGUAUGUAAACUUCUAUCAGCAGGGAAGAAAAUGACGGUACCUGACUAAGAAGCCCCGGCUAACUACGUGCCAGCCGCCGCAGUAA
Molecule: ribosomal RNA, 495 nt
Filed under: uncultured bacterium
Lineage: Bacteria
Description: partial 16S ribosomal RNA
Rfam family: Bacterial small subunit ribosomal RNA
Source: RNAcentral